Esox lucius (northern pike) is the source of this 1817-nucleotide long non-coding RNA. Lineage: Eukaryota; Metazoa; Chordata; Actinopteri; Esociformes; Esocidae. The record is from Ensembl.
GCGUACUGCAGUCACAUAGUCUAUACAUCAAAAUGAACAAGUAUAGGGGACAAGCUCUCAUUUGGUCAUCUGAAUUGAGUCUCUGGUGUUCAGGCCAGCGUGACCAUGGAUUUAAAGAAUAAAAGCGUAUCCAAUUUGGAUUACAUUACGGGGUAACUAGAUUAAAGAGCUAAUCACAAUCGCCCUUCUCCUGGAGCUUCUAAAGCAUUAGUGAGAAUAAUCCCAGUUUCAACUUUUGGAUUAAGGAAUGAGUUGCAUCUUAACAGGUAAGCUUGUGAAGUGAGGUUCAUGACAUCUUUAAAUCAGACACAUCCACUUCAUUAAUACAGUCUAAACCUGUAUUUAUUAACCAUCCCUGGCUAGUCCUGAUCCAGGAUCUUUCGCCCUAAACCAUUAUGAUCUAAAAGGGUAAACGUAUUUUAGAGCAACACCCCUCCAAGUUGAUUUUACAAAUGUUGACAAAAGUAAAGUAGGCCAGGUGUUAUACCAACAUUUGACUUUAUUACUCCAUUUAAAUGUAUAUGCAUCUCUAGUGGACAUAAAUUGACAUAAAACCCAUAGGCUCUCCGGAUGUGUCUGCAAAUGGAUGUUAUCAGCCAUGGAGGGAACAGAGGGUACAAAUCGGAAGACGCAUUCUAUGCUUCACAGGGGGGGGUUGUAGGGGUUAGGGUUAGUGGGAUGGAGAUACAUUGAUAGAUUCUGCCAGGCACCGAACCACACUAGUGUCACUCAGUCCAGUGCUUGUUGUGCAGAAGGGAAUGCUGGAAAACGUGGAGGACUCAGUGCAGUGGACCUGGAGUGUGAGGGGGAAAAGGACACAGAUAUACAUUUUAAGACAGUGUUCACACACCUGGCUGAUUGGCUAUGGGCUGACAAAGAAACACAAUGGACUGGUUGACCAUUGUGAGAACAGACUGGCUGGCAGACCAUUGGGUUUUUACUCCAGGCCCUGCAGGCUUUUCAACUCACAUUCCAUGACUGUGCCUACCAAAAGACAAGCCAGUCAGCAGCCUAGUGGUUAGAGUGUUGGGCCAGAAACUGCCUGGUGACUGGUUCAAAUGCGAGACAACAAGGUGAAAAAAAAUAUAUAUUGUUAUUGUGCCCUUCAGCAAGGCACUUACAUUUGCCCUGUAAGACACUGGAGAAAAAUAAAAGGGGCUCUAACCAAAAAAUGGUGCACACUAACAGAUGGCACAUGUGCCAUCUUGAGAUUUUGAACAAUCUAGCAUCUUAAAUCGUCUAUAUGUUUUAGAAAAUGCAUUGUAAAGAAGCACUUAGUGCUUCAAGCUCUAGUAGACACAGAUAAUGACCAGGAGGAGGUGAUUAGACAUUCCCUGACAAGUAAGAAUUUUCCAUGAAAUACAUGCAUUUCUAAGUUACUGGGAGAAUUAAAAGUUAGCUUUAGUAGGAGGUACCAGAAAACCAUGCCACUGGGAGCAACCGUACAUUUCCUUUAAGUUGACUUCCUCCAAUCCUCACGACGCCUCCGCUGCACUUUUCACACAGGCUGCAAACGCCUCCAUCAGGUCUGCCUUGAUGGUUACACAUGCAGCAGGGACAGGGGCCUCGGCGGGAGCGGUGGUCUCUGAGUCCGACAUGUCUGUAGAGUUGCUGUGUCUGUGAGCGUCUCCUCUGCACGGCUGUGGGUUGCGUGUGCCAGAGAUAGAGAGGGAGAGAGCGCGAGGAAAGAGCAAAGCGCGUUAGUGGGAGGGACAAGAGAACACACGAGGGUAGAAGGAAAGGGAGGGGGGGGAAUGUGACAUGACAGAACAUGUGUACAUAAGCAUUGGCAUGAGGCGGGGGGCGUAAGGGGAAGG